AUGAAGCGUAAGAAAACAAACCCCGUUGUUGUCGAACUGAUGUUUGAACACAGUGAGGGAAACUUGACGAUGACAUCAUCGACCCUCAGCGACGGUUCAUGUCAACACAAACUCACCACGUAUAAUCUGACCAACACUCCUGGACGCUUCUUCCAUCAUGUUGCACAGUUUGCAGCAGAUGUGGAUUCAUUUGUGGUUCAAACCAACUACACCGACCAUGCCGUGAUGUUUCUGAAGGGUGUUGAGAAACCGUUAGAAAUCACGACCUUUACAGCCAAACUUUAUAGUGAGCAGUCUUUCCCCAAC
RNAcentral lists this long non-coding RNA (306 nucleotides) under Gouania willdenowi (blunt-snouted clingfish). RNAcentral's name for it is "lncRNA (ENSGWIG00000006257.1)". Lineage: Eukaryota; Metazoa; Chordata; Actinopteri; Blenniiformes; Gobiesocidae. The record is from RNAcentral.